UCUCUCUCUCUCUCUCUCUCUCUUGACAGCUAGGGUUUUAGAACCGAUCAUCUGUUACGAUCCACCAUGUUAACUACCUGGACCAAAGCCCAAGUCCACAUUAGCUAAAUAAUGAUAACUUAGUUUCCAGAAAGAAUCAAUUCAGGAUCAACGUGGAUACACGCUGAGCCCCAAGAGAUUACCACUAGAAUACCACCACUUGGUUCGUUGAACUGAGUUUUGUUAACUGAAUUGAGUUAGGGUGAAUGCAACUAUGGUGACUGAACUUUCCUUCUCAAGGAAUUCAUUCAUCCAACAGGGCAUUCUUAUGCCACAUACGAAUUUAUAAGAUUAUAUCCUAAACUACACUUUGGGUUCCUGAAAAGAAAUAUCUUACCCAACUUGGGCUUCUAUGAGAGUAAAUCACACCCGCAGUAUGUCCCAUGAAAACUUGCUAGUCUAAGUGCUUGUGCAACGCUUUGAUAAUUUCCAAAAAUAUUAUUGAGUUUCAAGCUUCUCAUACUAUCCAAGAAGCCUUCCCAACUUUUGAUUUUCCAAUCGAAACAAGACAUUAUCUGAGAAAAGGAUAGAUGGCUAUGGCAGAGUACCAAGCUUCUAUUGUCGCCAACAACCCAUGAUGCACACUAUAUAUCUUUGUACAAUCGUGUGCAAUCCUCAACACCUGAUCCAUAAUUACAAAGAUGGAGAUGCAACAACCAUUAACCGGGGCAGACACAUUCCAAAUAGCCCAUACUUCUCAACAUAGGACUUUCAGAUGAGAUCGAUCGUAAAAUCAUGAUAUUUUGUGCAAUCGCGUGAUAAUUGAAUUUUGAUCCGUAGAUUAUCUGCAAAAAAAUUGAUAAAAAGUCAAUGUGUCCAAACAGUACAAUGUUUUAGAAUAAUAGUCUCCAACUCUUGUACGAAAAUCAUUUCUGAGAACAUGACAUGAAGAAACUGGUAACGAACUCGUGCCCACUUUACAAAGACACCUCACUAAACUCCAGGCCUGGACCAAAUCUGUGCUCAUAUAUAUAUGUCUCGGUUGUAAUAUACACGGAACCAUGAGUUGUAAGGCUUGUAGCCAAAAUGCUAGAGAACAAAAUUAUCAAUAUGACAUAAGAAUAUGAGCAGUAUUUUAUAUGAAUAAAAUAUCUACAAUAUUUGUCCGCUUUGUCGGUCUAAGUAUACUAAUUGUAUCCACUGACGACGUUUGUGCGAGUUUAUUUCAUAUUCAUGAAUCUCCCAGUUGACAUUAGCCAAAGGACAUUUUCCGUUAGGACAAUCCAAGUAAUGCACAUGUAUAUUCGUCCCAUAUCUAUCGUGAUAACAACAUAUUUAUAAUAUUAUACAUAGACAUGCAUCCAAAAGAACCGUAAUAACAUAACUCAUACGUGAAUAACCAAAGUUAUAGCAACACAAAACACCAUUCCUCCCGCUGCUUGUAUACCCAAUGAAAGCCAUACCAACGAAGAAAAGUGAAACAAAAAAAAUCUAAAACUUGAAAACUAUUGAGUUCUCCGGCCCCAUGAGAAACUCAAAUUAACCCAAA
Brassica rapa (field mustard) is the source of this 1528-nucleotide long non-coding RNA. RefSeq lists it as uncharacterized. NCBI's taxonomy places the organism in Eukaryota, Viridiplantae, Streptophyta, Magnoliopsida, Brassicales, Brassicaceae. The record is from RefSeq and is a predicted model, not a curated record.